RNAcentral lists this ribosomal RNA (403 nucleotides) under uncultured bacterium. RNAcentral describes it as "partial 16S ribosomal RNA". It matches the Rfam family "Bacterial small subunit ribosomal RNA", at positions 28 to 526 of the family's 1533-position model. The record is from RNAcentral.
GACGAACGCUGGCGGCGUGUCUAAUACAUGCAAGUCGAACGCAGUGGGGACGGGUGAGUAACACGUGGGUAACCUCCCAUCAGAGGGGAUAACACUUGGAAACAGGUGCUAAACCGAUAUUGAUGGCUGGACCCGCGGUGCAUUAGCUAGUUGGUGAGGUAAAGGCUCACCAAGGCCACGCUGCAUAGCCGACCUGAGAGGGGGAGCGGCCACACUGGGACGGAGACACGGCCCAGACUCCUACGGGAGGCAGCAGUGGGGAAUCUUCGGCAAUGGACGCAAGCCUGACGGAGCCACGCCGCGUGAGUGAAGAAGGUUUUCGGAGGGUAAAACUCUGUUGUUAGGGAAGCGGUAUCUAACCAGAAAGCAACGGCUAACUACGUGCCAGCAGCCGCGGUAAUUC